This 511-nucleotide ribosomal RNA is filed under the name Scorlupaster heptapotamicum. Its description in RNAcentral is "partial large subunit ribosomal RNA". It matches the Rfam family "Bacterial large subunit ribosomal RNA", at positions 1810 to 2595 of the family's 2925-position model. The record is from RNAcentral. Lineage: Eukaryota; Metazoa; Arthropoda; Insecta; Hemiptera; Issidae.
AAAACAUGUCCUUUUGAUUUUAUUUAAGGUCGUACCUGCUCAAUGUAUUUAUAAAUAGCCGCAGUAUAUUAACUGUGCUAAGGUAGCAUAAUAAUUAGUCUUUUAAUUGGGGUCUGGAAUGAAUGGUUUGACGAAAAAUAUACUUUAUUAAUUGAAUUUUUUUUGAAUUUUCUUUUUUAGUUAAAAUUCUAAAAUAUAAAAGAGGGACGAUAAGACCCUAUAGAUCUUUAUAAUUUAAUUUUUAUUUAUUUUUUAGUAGUUUUUUUUUGUACAAAUUUAUUUUAUUUUGUUGGGGUGACAACUAAAAAUUUAAACUUUAGUUUAUUUUUACACUUUUUUGUGGAUUUUUUGAUCCUUAAAUUUUGAUUAUAAGAAUAAGAUACCUUAGGGAUAACAGCGUUAUUCAUUUGGAGAGUUCAAAUCGAUAAAUGAGUUUGCGACCUCGAUGUUGGAUUAAAAUUGAUAUAUGGGGUAGGUUUUAUAUAAUUAGGUCUGUUCGACCUUUAAAAUU